GUGUCAGCCGCCGCGGUAAUACGUAAGGAGCGAGCGGGGGAACGAAGGACUGGGCGUAAAGAGCUCGUAGGUGGUUUCUUAGGUCUCACGUGAAAUUCCCUGGCUCAACUGGGGAGGGUCGUGGGAAACCGAGAAGCUAGAGGGCAGGAGAGGAGAGUGGAAUUCCCGGUGUAGCGGUGAAAUGCGUAGAGAUCGGGAGGAACACCAGUGGUGAAGACGGCUCUCUGGACUGUCCCUGACACUGAGGAGCGAAAGCCAGGGGAGCGAACCGGAUUAGAUACCCGGGUAGUCCUGGCCGUAAACGAUGGGUACUAGGUGUGGGGGGUUCGACCCCCUCCGUGCCGCAGUUAACGCAUUAAGUACCCCGCCUGGGGAGUACGGCCGCAAGGUUGAAACUUAAAUAAAUUGACGG
RNAcentral lists this ribosomal RNA (412 nucleotides) under uncultured bacterium. RNAcentral describes it as "bacterial SSU rRNA". It matches the Rfam family "Bacterial small subunit ribosomal RNA", at positions 505 to 916 of the family's 1533-position model. The record is from RNAcentral.